This 483-nucleotide ribosomal RNA is filed under the name uncultured bacterium. RNAcentral's name for it is "partial 16S ribosomal RNA". It matches the Rfam family "Bacterial small subunit ribosomal RNA", at positions 28 to 507 of the family's 1533-position model. The record is from RNAcentral.
GACGAACGCUGGCGGCGUGCUUAACACAUGCAAGUCGAACGCUGAAGCUCAGCUUUUGUUGGGUGGAUGAGUGGCGAACGGGUGAGUAACACGUGAGUAACCUGCCUCCUUCUUUGGGAUAACGCCCGGAAACGGGUGCUAAUACUGGAUAUUCACUGGUCUUCGCAUGGGGGUUGGUGGAAAGGGUUUUUCUGGUGGGGGAUGGGCUCGCGGCCUAUCAGCUUGUUGGUGGGGUGAUGGCCUACCAAGGCUUUGACGGGUAGCCGGCCUGAGAGGGUGACCGGUCACAUUGGGACUGAGAUACGGCCCAGACUCCUACGGGAGGCAGCAGUGGGGAAUAUUGCACAAUGGGCGCAAGCCUGAUGCAGCGACGCCGCGGGAGGGAUGGAGGCCUUCGGGUUGUGAACCUCUUUCGCUCAUGGUCAAGCCGCAACAAUGGUUGUGGUGAGGGUAGUGGGUAAAGAAGCGCCGGCUAACUACGUG